GACGAACGCUGGCGGCGUGCUGAACACAUGCAAGUCGAACGGUGAAGCGCCUUCCUUUUGGGUUGGUGGGGAGGAGCGGCGAACGGGUGAGUAACACGUGAGUAACCUGCCCCCUACUUCUGGAUAACCGCAAGAAAGUGUGGCUAAUACGGGAUAUUCCGGGUCGGUCGCAUGAUGGGUCUGGGAAAGAUAUCGGUUCGGUUGGGGAUGGGCCCGCGGCCCAUCAGCUGGUUGGUGGGGUGAUGGCCUACCAAGGCGGUGACGAGUAGCCGGCCUGAGAGGGUGGACCGUCACACUGGGAGUGAGACCCUCGCCCGACUGCUACGGGAGACAGCAGUGGACAGUGUUGCACGCUGGGCGCUAGUCUGCUGCCGCGACGACGCGUGAGGGAUGCAGCCCUUCGGGUUGUGAACCUCUUUCGCUAGUGAAGCAGGCCUGCCUCGUUUGUGCGUGGGUUGACGGUCGCUGGACAAGAAGCGCCGGCUAACUACGUG
This 494-nucleotide ribosomal RNA is filed under the name uncultured bacterium. RNAcentral's name for it is "partial 16S ribosomal RNA". It matches the Rfam family "Bacterial small subunit ribosomal RNA", at positions 28 to 507 of the family's 1533-position model. The record is from RNAcentral.